UCAGAUGAACGCUGGCGGCAGGCUUAACACAUGCAAGUCGAGCGGAUGAAGGUAGCUUGCUACGGAUUCAGCGGCGGACGGGUGAGUAAUGCUUAGGAAUCUGCCUAUUAGUGGGGGACAACGUUCCGAAAGGAGCGCUAAUACCGCAUACGUCUACGGGAGAAAGCAGGGGACCUUUGGGCCUUGCGCUAAUAGAUGAGCCUAAGUCGGAUUAGCUAGUUGGUAGGGUAAAGGCCUACCAAGGCGACGAUCUGUAGCGGGUCUGAGAGGAUGAUCCGCCACACUGGGACUGAGACACGGCCCAGACUCCUACGGGAGGCAGCAGUGGGGAAUAUUGGACAAUGGGGGGAACCCUGAUCCAGCCAUGCCGCGUGUGUGAAGAAGGCCUUUUGGUUGUAAAGCACUUUAAGCGAGGAGGAGGCUACCUAGAUUAAUACUUUAGGAUAGUGGACGUUACUCGCAGAAUAAGCACCGGCUAACUCUGUGCCAGCAGCCGCGGUAAUACAGAGGGUGCGAGCGUUAAUCGGAUUUACUGGGCGUAAAGCGUGCGUAGGCGGCCAAUUAAGUCAAAUGUGAAAUCCCCGAGCUUAACUUGGGAAUUGCAUUCGAUACUGGUUGGCUAGAGUAUGGGAGAGGAUGGUAGAAUUCCAGGUGUAGCGGUGAAAUGCGUAGAGAUCUGGAGGAAUACCGAUGGCGAAGGCAGCCAUCUGGCCUAAUACUGACGCUGAGGUACGAAAGCAUGGGGAGCAAACAGGAUUAGAUACCCUGGUAGUCCAUGCCGUAAACGAUGUCUACUAGCCGUUGGGGCCCUUGAGGCUUUAGUGGCGCAGCUAACGCGAUAAGUAGACCGCCUGGGGAGUACGGUCGCAAGACUAAAACUCAAAUGAAUUGACGGGGGCCCGCACAAGCGGUGGAGCAUGUGGUUUAAUUCGAUGCAACGCGAAGAACCUUACCUGGCCUUGACAUACAGAGAACUUUCCAGAGAUGGAUUGGUGCCUUCGGGAACUCUGAUACUGGUGCU
RNAcentral lists this ribosomal RNA (1021 nucleotides) under Acinetobacter radioresistens. RNAcentral's name for it is "bacterial SSU rRNA". It matches the Rfam family "Bacterial small subunit ribosomal RNA", at positions 24 to 1042 of the family's 1533-position model. The record is from RNAcentral. Lineage: Bacteria; Pseudomonadati; Pseudomonadota; Gammaproteobacteria; Moraxellales; Moraxellaceae.